UGGGGAAUUUUGGACAAUGGGCGAAAGCCUGAUCCAGCAAUGCCGCGUGUGUGAAGAAGGCCUUCGGGUUGUAAAGCACUUUUGUCCGGAAAGAAAUCCUUGGCUCUAAUACAGUCGGGGGAUGACGGUACCGGAAGAAUAAGCACCGGCUAACUACGUGCCAGCAGCCGCGGUAAUACGUAGGGUGCAAGCGUUAAUCGGAAUUACUGGGCGUAAAGCGUGCGCAGGCGGUUUGCUAAGACCGAUGUGAAAUCCCCGGGCUCAACCUGGGAACUGCAUUGGUGACUGGCAGGCUAGAGUAUGGCAGAGGGGGGUAGAAUUCCACGUGUAGCAGUGAAAUGCGUAGAGAUGUGGAGGAAUACCGAUGGCGAAGGCAGCCCCCUGGGCCAAUACUGACGCUCGUGCACGAAAAGCGUGGGGAGCAAACAGGAUUAGAUACCCUGGUAGUCCACGCCCUAAAACGAUGUCAACUAGUUGUUGGGGAUUCAUUUCCUUAGUAACGUAGCUAACGCGUGAAGUUGACCGCCUGGGGAGUACGGUCGCAAGAUUAAAAACUCAAAUGAAUUGACGGGGUCAUAGCUGUUUCCU
This 588-nucleotide ribosomal RNA is filed under the name uncultured bacterium. RNAcentral describes it as "partial 16S ribosomal RNA". It matches the Rfam family "Bacterial small subunit ribosomal RNA", at positions 355 to 1375 of the family's 1533-position model. The record is from RNAcentral.